This 168-nucleotide ribosomal RNA is filed under the name uncultured bacterium. Its description in RNAcentral is "partial 16S rRNA". It matches the Rfam family "Bacterial small subunit ribosomal RNA", at positions 352 to 512 of the family's 1533-position model. The record is from RNAcentral.
CAGUAGGGAAUCUUCCACAAUGGGCGCAAGCCUGAUGGAGCAACGCCGCGUGAGUGAAGGAGGUCUUCGGAUCGUAAAACUCUGUUGUUAGAGAAGAACAUGCAGGAGAGUAACUGUUCUUGUAUUGACGGUAUCUAACCAGAAAGCCACGGCUAACUACGUGCCAGC